GACGAACGCUGGCGGCGUGCUUAACACAUGCAAGUCGAACGGUAAGGCCCCUUCGGGGGUACACGAGUGGCGAACGGGUGAGUAACACGUGAGCAACCUGCCCUUGACUCUGGAAUAACAGUUGGAAACAGCUGCUAAUACCGGGUAUGACCUGUCACCGCAUGGUGGUGGGUGGAAAGUUCCGGCGGUCAGGGAUGGGCUCGCGGCCUAUCAGCUUGUUGGUGAGGUAAUGGCUCACCAAGGCUUCGACGGGUAGCCGGCCUGAGAGGGCGACCGGCCACACUGGGACUGAGAUACGGCCCAGACUCCUACGGGAGGCAGCAGUGGGGAAUAUUGCACAAUGGGCGAAAGCCUGAUGCAGCAACGCCGCGUGCGGGAUGACGGCCUGG
Molecule: ribosomal RNA, 389 nt
Filed under: uncultured bacterium
Lineage: Bacteria
Description: bacterial SSU rRNA
Rfam family: Bacterial small subunit ribosomal RNA
Source: RNAcentral